UCUAAGCCUUUUUCCAAGCUCUUCAUAACUAGUGAGCAUUUCCAGCAAAUCAGCAUUUGUGGUCUCAGCUACUUCACUGGUUAGCUUUGGUCUCACUGGGCUAGCUGUGGAAACAUUGCUGUGCCUACUAGGCAAAGUGGAACUAGGUGGACCGGGGUUGUCUGUGUGUCCCAACAUUUGAUCAGUGAUAAUGCCUGUGUUAAUUUCUUGGACUGUUUGUUGCGUUCUACUGAUGUCACUACCUGUAGAGGGAGCUACAUGUACUGUUUGUGUGGGUGCCGGUGCAGUGUCUAACUCAAGAUCACCUCUAUUAUCAGACAAAAGCAGUACAUUUCGGUUCAUCACAACAGUAUCAAUAGUGUCCUUUAAAAUCAACAACUGUACCAUACCACUGUCCUCAGACUCAAGCAGAUGCUUACUGUACAUGAAUGAACUGAUGUGGUUGAAGCAGCUCUCAUGAUCUCCCUCUGUGAGCUCAGGCUGACCCUCCUCCAACACUGGAACCACGCCCUUGGCAAUCUGGAAUAGCUCUUCUGCUGACAACCUCUCUGCUCGCAUCAGCUCCCGUAUUGGUCCAAGAUGUCAUCAAGUGAAUCAGCCCCAGACCAGGAGUUGGUGCUGAUCCCGGACGAGCCCCCAAGAUUUGUUACGGGUCCCAGAGAUGUGAGACCACAUUAACAAAUAUAUACCUGUGAUAGCAGGUAAAGGAGAGAGACACAUGAAGAACAGGUUGUCGUUUUUCCCCUUAACAGGUUGUCUCUGAGAGCGGCAGCGGUUGCACACCCCUAACC
Molecule: long non-coding RNA, 791 nt
Organism: Solea senegalensis (Senegalese sole)
Lineage: Eukaryota; Metazoa; Chordata; Actinopteri; Pleuronectiformes; Soleidae
Exons: 3
Source: RefSeq, a predicted model, not a curated record